This 253-nucleotide ribosomal RNA is filed under the name uncultured bacterium. RNAcentral describes it as "partial 16S ribosomal RNA". It matches the Rfam family "Bacterial small subunit ribosomal RNA", at positions 524 to 776 of the family's 1533-position model. The record is from RNAcentral.
UACGGGGGGGGCAAGCGUUGUUCGGAAUUACUGGGCGUAAAGGGCUCGUAGGUGGCCAACUAAGUCAGACGUGAAAUCCCUCAGCUUAACUGGGGAACUGCGUCUGAUACUGGAUGGCUUGAGUUUGGGAGAGGGAUGCGGAAUUCCAGGUGUAGCGGUGAAAUGCGUAGAUAUGUGGAGGAACACCGAUGGCGAAGGCAGCCCCCUGGGUUAACACUGACGCUCAUGCACGAAAGCGUGGGGAGCAAACAGG